This 464-nucleotide ribosomal RNA is filed under the name uncultured bacterium. RNAcentral describes it as "bacterial SSU rRNA". It matches the Rfam family "Bacterial small subunit ribosomal RNA", at positions 917 to 1382 of the family's 1533-position model. The record is from RNAcentral.
GGGCCCGCACAAGCAGUGGAGUAUGUGGUUUAAUUCGAAGCAACGCGAAGAAUCUUACCAGGGUUUGACAUGUUACUGAAGUUAGUAGAGAUAUUAACGUCCUUCGGGACAGUAAUGCAGGUGGUGCAUGGUUGUCGUCAGCUCGUGUCGUGAGAUGUUGGGUUAAGUCCCGCAACGAGCGCAACCCUUAUUGUUAGUUGCCAUCAAGUAAUGUUGGGCACUCUAGCGAGACUGCCGGCGAAAAGUCGGAGGAAGGUGGGGACGACGUCAAAUCAUCAUGCCCCUUAUAUCCUGGGCUACACACGUACUACAAUGGCCGUUACAGAGGGAAGCGAAACGGUAACGUGGAGCAAAUCCUCAAAGGCGGUCCCAGUUCGGAUUGUGGGCUGAAACUCGCCCACAUGAAGUCGGAAUUGCUAGUAAUGGUAGGUCAGCAUACUACCGUGAAUACGUUCCCGGGCCUU